GGCUCAGAACGAACGCUGGCGGCAUGCCUAAUACAUGCAAGUCGAACGGAGAUAGCAAUAUCUUAGUGGCGAACGGGUGCGUAACACGUGAGCAACCUGCCUUAUACAUCGGAAUAACAGCUGGAAACGGCUGCUAAUACCGGAUAAGACCACACCAAGGCAUCUUGGAGAGGUCAAAGCGAAUUAGCGGUAUAAGAUGGGCUCGCGUCCAAUUAGCUAGUUGGUGGGGUAACGGCCCACCAAGGCAACGAUUGGUAGCCGACUUGAGAGAGUGAUCGGCCACACUGGAACUGAGACACGGUCCAGACUCCUACGGGAGGCAGCAGUAGGGAAUAUUGGACAAUGGAGGAAACUUCCUUACCCAGCAAUGCCGCGUGAAUGAUGAAGGUCUUAUGGAUUGUAAAGUUCUUUAAUUGGGGACGAAAGAAAUGACGGUACCCAAAGAAUAAGCCCCGGCUAACUAUGUGCCAGCCGCUGC
RNAcentral lists this ribosomal RNA (478 nucleotides) under uncultured bacterium. RNAcentral describes it as "bacterial SSU rRNA". It matches the Rfam family "Bacterial small subunit ribosomal RNA", at positions 21 to 518 of the family's 1533-position model. The record is from RNAcentral.